UCCUGGCUCAGGACGAACGCUGGCGGCGUGCCUAAUACAUGCAAGUCGAGCGGAUCUUGUUUGGAAGCUUGCUUCCGAACUUGGUUAGCGGCGGACGGGUGAGUAACACGUAGGCAACCUGCCCUCAAGAUCGGGAUAACAUUCGGAAACGAAUGCUAAGACCGGAUACGCAGUUUNGUGGCAUCACGGAACUGGGAAACACGGAGCAAUCUGUGGCUUGGGGAUGGGCCUGCGGCGCAUUAGCUAGUUGGUGGGGUAACGGCUCACCAAGGCGACGAUGCGUAGCCGACCUGAGAGGGUGAACGGCCACACUGGGACUGAGACACGGCCCAGACUCCUACGGGAGGCAGCAGUAGGGAAUCUUCCACAAUGGGCGCAAGCCUGAUGGAGCAACGCCGCGUGAGUGAGGAAGGCUUUCGGGUCGUAAAGCUCUGUUGCCAGGGAAGAAUAAGAGUGAGAGUAACUGCUCACUUGAUGACGGUACCUGAGAAGAAAGCCCCGGCUAACUACGUGCCAGCAGCCGCGGUAAUACGUAGGGGGCAAGCGUUGUCCGGAAUUAUUGGGCGUAAAGCGCGCGCAGGCGGUCUUUUAAGUCUGGUGUCUAAGUGCGGGGCUCAACCCCGUGUCGCACUGGAAACUGGGAGACUUGAGUGCAGAAGAGGAGAGCGGAAUUCCACGUGUAGCGGUGAAAUGCGUAGAGAUGUGGAGGAACACCAGUGGCGAAGGCGGCUCUCUGGACUGUAACNGACGNGA
RNAcentral lists this ribosomal RNA (753 nucleotides) under Cohnella ginsengisoli. Its description in RNAcentral is "bacterial SSU rRNA". It matches the Rfam family "Bacterial small subunit ribosomal RNA", at positions 17 to 749 of the family's 1533-position model. The record is from RNAcentral. Lineage: Bacteria; Bacillati; Bacillota; Bacilli; Caryophanales; Paenibacillaceae.